This 255-nucleotide ribosomal RNA is filed under the name Klebsiella pneumoniae. Its description in RNAcentral is "partial 23S ribosomal RNA". It matches the Rfam family "Bacterial large subunit ribosomal RNA", at positions 1443 to 1701 of the family's 2925-position model. Lineage: Bacteria; Pseudomonadati; Pseudomonadota; Gammaproteobacteria; Enterobacterales; Enterobacteriaceae. The record is from RNAcentral.
GUUGGUGUUACUGCGAAGGGGGGACGGAGAAGGCUAUGUUAGCCGGGCGACGGUUGUCCCGGUUUAAGCAUGUAGGCUGGUUGUCCAGGCAAAUCCGGAUAAUCAAGGCUGAGGUGUGAUGACGAGGUACUACGGUGCUGAAGUAACAAAUGCCCUGCUUCCAGGAAAAGCCUCUAAGCAUCAGGUAACAUCAAAUCGUACCCCAAACCGACACAGGUGGUCAGGUAGAGAAUACCAAGGCGCUUGAGAGAACUC